This 486-nucleotide ribosomal RNA is filed under the name uncultured bacterium. RNAcentral describes it as "partial 16S ribosomal RNA". It matches the Rfam family "Bacterial small subunit ribosomal RNA", at positions 30 to 507 of the family's 1533-position model. The record is from RNAcentral.
AUUGAACGCUGGCGGCAUGCCUUACACAUGCAAGUCGAACGGCAGCACGGGUGCUUGCACCUGGUGGCGAGUGGCGAACGGGUGAGUAAUACAUCGGAACAUGUCCUGUAGUGGGGGAUAGCCCGGCGAAAGCCGGAUUAAUACCGCAUACGAUCUACGGAUGAAAGCGGGGGACCUUCGGGCCUCGCGCUAUAGGGUUGGCCGAUGGCUGAUUAGCUAGUUGGUGGGGUAAAGGCCUACCAAGGCGACGAUCAGUAGCUGGUCUGAGAGGACGACCAGCCACACUGGGACUGAGACACGGCACAGACUCCUACGGGAGGCAGCAGUGGGGAAUUGUGGACAAUGGGCGAAAGCCUGAUCCAGCAAUGCCGCGUGUGUGAAGAAGGCCUUCGGGUUGUAAAGCACUUUUGUCCGGAAAGAAAUCCUUGGCCCUAAUACGGUCGGGGGAUGACGGUACCGGAAGAAUAAGCACCGGCUAACUACGUG